GAUGAACGCUGGCGGCGUGCCUAAUACAUGCAAGUCGAGCGAACGGACGAGAAGCUUGCUUCUCUGAUGUUAGCGGCGGACGGGUGAGUAACACGUGGAUAACCUACCUAUAAGACUGGGAUAACUUCGGGAAACCGGAGCUAAUACCGGAUAAUAUUUUGAACCGCAUGGUUCAAAAGUGAAAGACGGUCUUGCUGUCACUUAUAGAUGGAUCCGCGCUGCAUUAGCUAGUUGGUAAGGUAACGGCUUACCAAGGCAACGAUGCAUAGCCGACCUGAGAGGGUGAUCGGCCACACUGGAACUGAGACACGGUCCAGACUCCUACGGGAGGCAGCAGUAGGGAAUCUUCCGCAAUGGGCGAAAGCCUGACGGAGCAACGCCGCGUGAGUGAUGAAGGUCUUCGGAUCGUAAAACUCUGUUAUUAGGGAAGAACAUAUGUGUAAGUAACUGUGCACAUCUUGACGGUACCUAAUCAGAAAGCCACGGCUAACUACGUGCCAGCAGCCGCGGUAAUACGUAGGUGGCAAGCGUUAUCCGGAAUUAUUGGGCGUAAAGCGCGCGUAGCGGUUUUUUAGUCUGAUGUGAAAGCCCACGGCUCAACCGUGGAGGGUCAUUGGAAACUGGAAAACUUGAGUGCAGAAGAGGAAAGUGGAAUUCCAUGUGUAGCGGUGAAAUGCGCAGAGAUAUGGAGGAACACCAGUGGCGAAGGCGACUUUCUGGUCUGUAACUGACGCUGAUGUGCGAAAGCGUGGGGAUCAAACAGGAUUAGAUACCCUGGUAGUCCACGCCGUAAACGAUGAGUGCUAAGUGUUAGGGGGUUUCCGCCCCUUAGUGCUGCAGCUAACGCAUUAAGCACUCCGCCUGGGGAGUACGACCGCAAGGUUGAAACUCAAAGGAAUUGACGGGGACCCGCACAAGCGGUGGAGCAUGUGGUUUAAUUCGAAGCAACGCGAAGAACCUUACCAAAUCUUGACAUCCUUUGACAACUCUAGAGAUAGAGCCUUCCCCUUCGGGGGACAAAGUGACAGGUGGUGCAUGGUUGUCGUCAGCUCGUGUCGUGAGAUGUUGGGUUAAGUCCCGCAACGAGCGCAACCCUUAAGCUUAGUUGCCAUCAUUAAGUUGGGCACUCUAAGUUGACUGCCGGUGACAAACCGGAGGAAGGUGGGGAUGACGUCAAAUCAUCAUGCCCCUUAUGAUUUGGGCUACACACGUGCUACAAUGGACAAUACAAAGGGCAGCGAAACCGCGAGGUCAAGCAAAUCCCAUAAAGUUGUUCUCAAUUCGGAUUGUAGUCUGCAACUCCACUACAUGAAGCUGGAAACGCUAGUAAUCGUAAAUCACCAUGCUACCGUGAAUAAGGUUCCCGGGUCU
Molecule: ribosomal RNA, 1371 nt
Filed under: uncultured bacterium
Lineage: Bacteria
Description: bacterial SSU rRNA
Rfam family: Bacterial small subunit ribosomal RNA
Source: RNAcentral